This 460-nucleotide ribosomal RNA is filed under the name uncultured bacterium. RNAcentral's name for it is "partial 16S ribosomal RNA". It matches the Rfam family "Bacterial small subunit ribosomal RNA", at positions 338 to 795 of the family's 1533-position model. The record is from RNAcentral.
CCUACGGGAGGCAGCAGUGAGGAAUAUUGGUCAAUGGGCUUACGCCUGAACCAGCCAAGUCGCGUGAGGGAAGACUGCCCUAUGGGUUGUAAACCUCUUUUGUCAGGGAGCAACGCCGGCUACGUGUAGCCGGACUGAGAGUACCUGAAGAAAAAGCAUCGGCUAACUCCGUGCCAGCAGCCGCGGUCAUACGGAGGAUGCGAGCGUUAUCCGGAUUUAUUGGGUUUAAAGGGUGCGUAGGCGGAAUGCCAAGUCAGCGGUAAAAUCGCGGGGCUCAACCUCGCUCCGCCGUUGAACCUGGCGUGCUUGAGUGGGCGAGAAGUAUGCGGAAUGCGGGGUGUAGCGGUGAAAUGCAUAGAUAUCACGCAGAACUCCGAUUGCGAAGGCAGCAUACCGGCGCUCAACUGACGCUGAUGCACGAAAGUGUGGGGAUCGAACAGGAUUAGAUACCCGAGUAGUC